UCCGGUGAAGAUGGCUGAGUGGUUCCACCUGUUCCCAUACCGAACACAGAAGUUAAGCACUCAUACGCCGAAGGUACUGAGCUGGCGACGGCUUGGAAGAUUAGGUAUUCGCCGGUU
Molecule: ribosomal RNA, 117 nt
Filed under: Selenomonadaceae bacterium
Lineage: Bacteria; Bacillati; Bacillota; Negativicutes; Selenomonadales; Selenomonadaceae
Source: RNAcentral